This 254-nucleotide ribosomal RNA is filed under the name uncultured bacterium. Its description in RNAcentral is "partial 16S ribosomal RNA". It matches the Rfam family "Bacterial small subunit ribosomal RNA", at positions 524 to 776 of the family's 1533-position model. The record is from RNAcentral.
UACGUAGGGUGCGAGCGUUGUCCGGAAUUACUGGGCGUAAAGAGCUCGUAGGUGGUUUGUCGCGUUGUUCGUGAAAACUCACAGCUUAACUGUGGGCGUGCGGGCGAUACGGGCAGACUGGAGUACUGCAGGGGAGACUGGAAUUCCUGGUGUAGCGGUGAAAUGCGCAGAUAUCAGGAGGAACACCGGUGGCGAAGGCGGGUCUCUGGGCAGUAACUGACGCUGAGGAGCGAAAGCGUGGGGGAGCGAACAGG